GGGGAGGCCGAGGGUGAGUAUGGUGCAGAGAUCUCCAAUCUUUUUAGUUUUCCACUGCGAAAGCCCGACGAUCGUGAGAGCGGUAGAUGCGGCCGACGAGCUUUAUCACGUCCGUGGCACCUACUUCUCCAAGGAUUCGGCAAGGACGAUCUCGAGGCUUCAAGCCCUAGGUACUGAUGCACUGAAGUGUCAGAUUUAAUCCAUGGCCUGGAGAAGUUUAUGGGAAGUUUUGCCAUAAGCUGAAGUAACAGUCAG
Non-coding RNA from Elaeis guineensis (African oil palm), 255 nucleotides. The record is from RefSeq and is a predicted model, not a curated record. Lineage: Eukaryota; Viridiplantae; Streptophyta; Magnoliopsida; Arecales; Arecaceae.